This is a long non-coding RNA of Athalia rosae (coleseed sawfly), 1238 nucleotides long. RefSeq lists it as uncharacterized. The transcript has 3 exons. NCBI's taxonomy places the organism in Eukaryota, Metazoa, Arthropoda, Insecta, Hymenoptera, Athaliidae. The record is from RefSeq and is a predicted model, not a curated record.
GUACGUCGAUCAUAUACAUACAUAUAAGCGAAAGGACGUAUGAAGGAUUAUCGCGGAUGUAUAUAGGUAUACGUAAUAAUUUUGGGGUGCGGUUUAUCGGUCCGUAAAACAAGUGAGCGGGUUCGCGCUUCUAAUUCGUUGAAUAUUAACCCCGUAUGGCAACUGUAUAGAGCGGGGUGAUCACGGCGGAUAACUUCCGCGUGGUGAGAUCGCAACCACAACGCACCGGGAACCCUACACGCUAUAUACGGAGUCACCCUUCAGAAAUCACAAUAUGGCGCUAGCGCGGUUAUUUCGGCCCGUAUGUUGAUACGCGCUUUGAUUCGAAGUUUCGCGAGCGAUUCUCGGUUUCUUAUUUGAAAAUUUCUUUGAAAUCACGUCGAUGAAAUUGUACACCAACCAAUUCGUCACGCGGUUCAAAAUUUCGCUACUUAUGCGAAAUGCGACGAAUGAAAAAAUUUGAAAGUUUGAUAGGUUAUAGUUUGGAAGAAAGAGUUUCCGCAUCGAUCAUGUAUAUAUUACAUAGAUACCCGUAUGUGAAAAGAACUUAUUGAUAUUGCUGAAUCCGUACGUACAUAAGAUAAAAAUGAGAGAAACGAAAUAGAAAUAAAAAUAACAUAUUUCUAUGUACGCGCAUCGGUCUGCAUAUACAUGAAUAGAAUUGAAAAGCUUUUAAAAAUUCAGGCACACGAGCCGCGGGAGGAGGGCGAGACGGAGAUGGAGGAGUCGUAGUCCGCGGAGGUGGAGAUGAGACGAAAUGGAACGGAACGCUCUCGUACCUAUACAGCCAACGGAGGAAUGAGGCGAAGGCGCUGCAAGAAGAUGACGAGGAGAGAAAAACGGGUAUAGACGCGCAGUAAUAUCAUAUAUUGAUUGACGGAACUUGGCAGGAACGACCGAAAGUAUCGGAGGUCCAUUCCCGUCGAUACCCGCUGCAGCAUAACAGCGGUGGUGAAAAUAGUGUGAAGUCUUCUGACGCUUGUACAGAACAUUAUCUAUCGUCGAACUACGCGAAAAAAACAUCAGGAGCCUCGAAGCGAAUCCGUCCUGCAUAUAGCACACAAGACUCGUUGGUACAUCCGUAAAUCUACAUGAUUGCUGAUUAUAUUUGUGAACUGACAAUGAGUGAGAGAACAUACAUAUGUCGGUUAUCAUGUAGCCACGGAUAUCAUGUAUUCUGUAAAAUAAUUGUAAAAAAUUAUUUUUCUAUAUUAAUAAAUCCAUAAUAUCUGCAAUGA